Molecule: ribosomal RNA, 446 nt
Filed under: uncultured bacterium
Lineage: Bacteria
Description: partial 16S ribosomal RNA
Rfam family: Bacterial small subunit ribosomal RNA
Source: RNAcentral
CCUACGGGGGGCAGCAGUAGGGAAUUUUCGGCAAUGGGGGGAACCCUGACCGAGCAACGCCGCGUGAACGAAGAAGUUAUUCGUAAUGUAAAGUUCUUUUAACAGGGAAGAAAGAGAAAUUUGACGGUACCUGAAGAAUAAGCUCCGGCUAACUACGUGCCAGCAGCCGCGGUAAUACGGAGGAUGCGAGCGUUAUCCGGAUUUAUUGGGUUUAAAGGGUGCGUAGGCGGAUCGUUAAGUCAGUGGUCAAAUUGAGGGGCUCAACCCCUUCCCGCCAUUGAAACUGGCGUUCUUGAGUGGAAGAGAAGUAUGCGGAAUGCGUGGUGUAGCGGUGAAAUGCAUAGAUAUCACGCAGAACCCCGAUUGCGAAGGCAGCAUGCCGGCUUCCGACUGACGCUGAAGCACGAAAGCGUGGGGAUCGAACAGGAUUAGAUACCCGAGUAGUC